This is a non-coding RNA of Saimiri boliviensis boliviensis (Bolivian squirrel monkey), 757 nucleotides long. The record is from RefSeq and is a predicted model, not a curated record. Lineage: Eukaryota; Metazoa; Chordata; Mammalia; Primates; Cebidae.
ACACAAGAGAUGACAUUAAUAGAUGAAAGUGAGGCUACUCAUGCCACAUUAUCAGAAAGUAAUUUUGAGCAGCACUGACUUACAAUUGGGAAGAAAAUACUUGUCUCUUCUUUGUUGCUGAGUCAAAGGUCCGAUCCCCUGCCUGGAUACUAAACUUGGCUCAAUUCCUGACAUUGUCUCUUUUAUUCCCAUAACCAACCUUUUUCAGAGACUUCAGAAGACUAGAUCAAAACUUUUGCAUAUGUUGGAUGACUCACAGAAGCACAGACUAUGUGGUAUAGUAAUUUUGUGAUCUUUUGUCUAAACUCAUACUUGCUUAAUUAUGUAUUCUUUAAUGGGCCGAGAAUGCUACAACUUCCACUCUGCUCUACCAGCAGCUACAUGAUUGAAUUUUUAUCAGUGAAUUUAUUAAAUGUAAUAGGCUUUCACAAGCACCAAAUUUAUUUAGCUAAAGCUUAAAAGAACAGGCUACAUAGUAUCCACAGCCAUAACAUAGUGGAAGUAUGUGAUCCCUAGGCUCAGUUUCUGGUAUCCCAUACAUUUUAUACUAAGGAAUGAUGUGUGUUGAAUAUGUGCAGACAACCUCAGAUCAGGGAAGCCAAUAAGCCCCAGGGUCCCUUUAGCCUUUAUAACAAGCUAAUCACAUAGCCCCUUCCAAUGUACAUGACUAGGACUCCAUGACCAGCUUCCAUCUAUAAAUGCAGUUGUGUGUCAUUAAAGCUGAUUUUUCUUUAUUUAAUAAAUAAUAUUGACAGUG